Molecule: ribosomal RNA, 253 nt
Filed under: uncultured bacterium
Lineage: Bacteria
Description: partial 16S ribosomal RNA
Rfam family: Bacterial small subunit ribosomal RNA
Source: RNAcentral
UACGUAGGGUGCAAGCGUUGUCCGGAAUUAUUGGGCGUAAAGAGCACGCAGGCGGUUUGGCAAGUCGGAUGUGAAAACCCGAAGCUCAACUUCGGGCCUGCAUCCGAAACUGCCCGACUAGAGGUAGGUAGGGGAGAUCGGAAUUCCUAGUGUAGCGGUGAAAUGCGCAGAUAUCAGGAGGAACACCGGUGGCGAAGGCGGAUCUCUGGGCCUUACCUGACGCUCAGGUGCGAAAGCUAGGGGAGCGAACAGG